RNAcentral lists this small RNA (218 nucleotides) under Mycolicibacterium diernhoferi. RNAcentral describes it as "Mycobacterium diernhoferi c-di-AMP sequence". It matches the Rfam family "c-di-AMP riboswitch aptamer (ydaO/yuaA leader)". Rfam says of the family: This family represents a conserved RNA structure found upstream of the ydaO and yuaA genes in Bacillus subtilis and related genes in other bacteria. The ydaO/yuaA element is thought to act as a genetic "off" switch for the ydaO and yuaA genes in its native state. It is believed that the element may be triggered during osmotic shock leading to activation of ydaO, a predicted amino acid transporter gene, and members of the yuaA-yubG operon which code for KtrA and KtrB K+ transporters. Lineage: Bacteria; Bacillati; Actinomycetota; Actinomycetes; Mycobacteriales; Mycobacteriaceae. The record is from RNAcentral.
UCUGAUUGCGCCGAGCUCCAUCCAUCAGCCGAGGGCCAACACGAACCACUGGAUGGAGGCGGGGGACCCACCGGUCCGCCGACAAGCAGACCAGGAACUGCAGUACCGGUUCCUUGGGGUGAAGCCGAAGUAGUGCACAUGGUGCACAACACGGAGGCCGGGCAACCUCUCCAGCCCGAACCCGACAGCUGACCUCGCGGGCGCUGACGAGAGGAACU